Molecule: ribosomal RNA, 490 nt
Filed under: uncultured bacterium
Lineage: Bacteria
Description: partial 16S ribosomal RNA
Rfam family: Bacterial small subunit ribosomal RNA
Source: RNAcentral
GAUGAACGCUAGCUACAGGCUUAACACAUGCAAGUCGCGGGGCAGCAUGGGGGUUGCUUGCAACCCCUGAUGGCGACCGGCGCACGGGUGAGUAACGCGUAUCCAACCUGCCCUUCACCACGGGAUACCCGGCGAAAGUCGGACUAAUACCGUAUGUUGUCCAUUGACGGCAUCCGAUUUGGACGAAAGGCUUGGCGGCGAAGGGAUGGGGAUGCGUCCGAUUAGCUUGACGGCGGGGUAACAGCCCACCGUGGCUACGAUCGGUAGGGGUUCUGAGAGGAAGGUCCCCCACACUGGAACUGAGACACGGUCCAGACUCCUACGGGAGGCAGCAGUGAGGAAUAUUGGUCAAUGGGCGUAAGCCUGAACCAGCCAAGUAGCGUGCAGGAUGACGGCCCUAUGGGUUGUAAACUGCUUUUAUGCGGGGAUAAAGUGGCCCACGUGUGGGCUUUUGCAGGUACCGCAUGAAUAAGGACCGGCUAAUUCCGUG